CUAAUAUGACAGAAUAAUGUAAUAAAUUUAAAAUUUAAAUAUGAGUAACUUCUUUUAGUAA
This 61-nucleotide transfer RNA is filed under the name Pariaconus pele. Its description in RNAcentral is "tRNA-Leu". Lineage: Eukaryota; Metazoa; Arthropoda; Insecta; Hemiptera; Triozidae. The record is from RNAcentral.